Alosa alosa (allis shad) is the source of this 294-nucleotide long non-coding RNA. RefSeq lists it as uncharacterized. The record is from RefSeq and is a predicted model, not a curated record. The transcript has 3 exons. Lineage: Eukaryota; Metazoa; Chordata; Actinopteri; Clupeiformes; Clupeidae.
CAACGUAUCAGUUGACGUUAUCAACGUUAUCAUAGUGAUAUGCGCGGGAGAUUGACUUGUUCUACCUGGGCUCACUCCUAACGUUCAUCGUCGAAAGCUUCCAUAGGCUACUGUUUAAUCUCCAGAUCAUACUGGAAAGCAUUUUUCUGUCCCUCCCAAAGGCCCUCAAGAACAACCCCCUUACCAGCACUACAAAUCAGAGGAGGCUGAACGGUCGUUAGGGAAAUGGUUUACUGGGGCAAGGGACAGGGGAGGGCUGAGGGCAGCCAGAGUGGCGAAGUGAUUUAAUUCAAU